RNAcentral lists this unclassified non-coding RNA (405 nucleotides) under uncultured fungus. RNAcentral's name for it is "partial contains small subunit ribosomal RNA, internal transcribed spacer 1, and 5.8S ribosomal RNA". The stretch from base 1 to 73 matches the Rfam family "Eukaryotic small subunit ribosomal RNA", at positions 1759 to 1831 of the family's 1831-position model. The record is from RNAcentral. Lineage: Eukaryota; Fungi.
GCAAACUUGGUCAUUUAGAGGAAGUAAAAGUCGUAACAAGGUUUCCGUAGGUGAACCUGCGGAAGGAUCAUUACUGAGUGGCUGUAAUCGUGCUUCUCUUCGGAGACGCGAAGCUACCCGACCUGAUGUCAUUUUAUCCGAGGGCGCGCCCGCUUCAGACAGCGGUUCGACGUUGGGAGUUACCCGGAUGAGGCGUUGUCUCGAAAGGGGAAGCUUCCGGGCCGGGCCGUGGCGCGUCUCUUGGCACAACUUUCCGCGGAAGUGGUAGGCGUUGACCUGCCCGCCGCGGGCCAUACUUUUCACAAUUCUUGAAGAAAACCUGAAGUCUGAACCCAAAAGAACGAAAUGAAAAGCAAAACUUUCAACAACGGAUCUCUUGGCUCUGGCAUCGAUGAAGAACGCAGC